CAACUGGAGAGUUUGAUCCUGGCUCAGAACGAACGCUGGCGGCGUGCCUAACACAUGCAAGUCGUGCGAGAAAGUCUCCUUCGGGAGGCGAGUAAAGCGGCGCACGGGUGAGUAACACGUAGGUAACCUGCCCCGUAGUCGGGAAUAACUGGCUGAAAAGCCAGCUAAUGCCGGAUAAGACCACGGCCACUUCGGUGGCUGGGGCCAAAGGCGGCCUCUGCAUUGCAAGCUGUCGCUACGGGAUGGGCCUGCGGCCCAUUAGCUAGUUGGUAGGGUAAUGGCCUACCAAGGCUACGAUGGGUAGCUGGUCUGAGAGGAUGAUCAGCCACACUGGGACUGAGACACGGCCCAGACUCCUACGGGAGGCAGCAGU
This 373-nucleotide ribosomal RNA is filed under the name Candidatus Dadabacteria bacterium. Its description in RNAcentral is "bacterial SSU rRNA". It matches the Rfam family "Bacterial small subunit ribosomal RNA", at positions 1 to 355 of the family's 1533-position model. Lineage: Bacteria; Pseudomonadati; Thermodesulfobacteriota; Candidatus Dadabacteria. The record is from RNAcentral.